This 254-nucleotide ribosomal RNA is filed under the name uncultured bacterium. Its description in RNAcentral is "partial 16S ribosomal RNA". It matches the Rfam family "Bacterial small subunit ribosomal RNA", at positions 524 to 776 of the family's 1533-position model. The record is from RNAcentral.
UACGUAGGGUGCGAGCGUUAAUCGGAAUUACUGGGCGUAAAGCGUGCGCAGGCGGUUCGUUGUGUCGGCGGUGAAAGCCCCGGGCUUAACCUGGGAAUGGCCGUUGAAACUGGCGAACUGGAGUGUGGCAGAGGGGGGUGGAAUUCCGCGUGUAGCAGUGAAAUGGCGUAGAGAUGCGGAGGAACACCGAUGGCGAAGGCAGCCCCCUGGGCCAGCACUGACGCUCAUGCACGAAAGCGUGGGGAGCAAACAGG